Molecule: ribosomal RNA, 253 nt
Filed under: uncultured bacterium
Lineage: Bacteria
Description: partial 16S ribosomal RNA
Rfam family: Bacterial small subunit ribosomal RNA
Source: RNAcentral
CACGAACUGCGCGAACGUUAUUCGGAAUCACUGGGCUUAAAGAGUCCGUAGGCGGCUCGGAAGGUGGGGUGUGAAAUCCCACGGCUCAACCGUGGAAUUGCGCUCCAAACCGCCGAGCUGGAGGGAGAUAGAGGAGAGCGGAACUGAUGGUGGAGCGGUGAAAUGCGUUGAUAUCAUCAGGAACACCGGUGGCGAAGGCGGCUCUCUGGGUCUCUUCUGACGCUGAGGGACGAAAGCUAGGGGAGCGAACGGG